This 234-nucleotide ribosomal RNA is filed under the name uncultured Lactobacillus sp. Its description in RNAcentral is "partial 16S ribosomal RNA". It matches the Rfam family "Bacterial small subunit ribosomal RNA", at positions 128 to 356 of the family's 1533-position model. Lineage: Bacteria; Bacillati; Bacillota; Bacilli; Lactobacillales; Lactobacillaceae. The record is from RNAcentral.
GCCCAAGAGAUCGGGAUAACACCUGGAAACAGAUGCUAAUACCGGAUAACAACAGAUGAUGCCUAUCAACUGUUUAAAAGAUGGUUCUGCUAUCACUCUUGGAUGGACCUGCGGUGCAUUAGCUAGUUGGUAGGGUAACGGCCUACCAAGGCGAUGAUGCAUAGCCGAGUUGAGAGACUGAUCGGCCACAAUGGAACUGAGACACGGUCCAUACUCCUACGGGAGGCAGCAGCG